Molecule: small nuclear RNA, 321 nt
Filed under: Erinaceus europaeus (western European hedgehog)
Lineage: Eukaryota; Metazoa; Chordata; Mammalia; Eulipotyphla; Erinaceidae
Description: 7SK RNA
Rfam family: 7SK RNA
About the family: 7SK was discovered as an abundant small nuclear RNA in the mid-70s but a possible function has only recently been suggested. Two independent studies have found that 7SK RNA binds the CDK9/cyclin T complex (known as elongation factor P-TEFb). P-TEFb activates transcription by phosphorylating the C-terminal domain of RNA polymerase II.
Source: Rfam by way of RNAcentral
GGAUGUGAGGGUGAUGACUGUGGCAUCUGUCACCCCACUGAUCGCUAGGGUUGACUGGCUGAUCUGGAUGGCCAGGUGGGUGUUCCCCCUUCCUCCCUCACUGCUCCAUGUGCGUUCUUCCCAAGACUGCCCAAUCCAUCAGUCAAAGAGGAUGACCUUCCCCAAACACAGACUGACCGGUCUUUGGCUGAAGGUACGAGUAGCUGCGUUCCCCUGCUAGAACCUCCAAACAAGCUCUCAGGGGAGCUCCCGCACUCUUCUUUGGGUAGGUCACCGUUGGCAUGAUUGAACAUCCCACGCAGGACACCUAGUCUUCUAGAG